GUGGCUCUGAGGGCUGCUUUAAUUAAAGCGCCCACAGUGUCACAUGUAUUUAGUGUUCCAUACUUUGAAAUGGCGGCACCCCUGCUGCCAUUUUGAAGCAUGGGGAUAUUGAAUACAUGUGAUAUGGAGGCUGCUGGAGCGUGCUAAUUAGCAUGCAUUGGAGCAGAUGUCCAGCACGUGCAUAGAUGCUCAUAGGUUCUUUCUCCCUGGGCUUUCUGGGAGGAACAAACAAGUGAAAGGUGCUUGAAUAAGGUCAGGGGUAUAAGGGAGAUGAGGAAGAACCUCAGAUCCAAGGCUUUUGAAGGUUUCCAUGACCACAUGAACAGUAGGUCAUGGACCUACUGUUUUGUCAUGGAGGAGGAGUAUUCCUUUUGUCAGCAUGCCACAUAGAUUCCCUCUGAGCAACAUUUUUUUGUUCACAUCUUGCAUAAAAAAUCUUUCACAAGGAAACUGUUAGUAUCCCAGAAAACCAUCAGAAGGACUUUGUUGCCUUUCACACCCUUUGUCACAAAAAUGGCUCAGGGAAUGCACCUCUUCCUUGGUACAGUCAAAAGCUGUAGUUAUCCUUUUUGGUACUGUGCAAAGGCACACAGCAGAAAAGUCCACAAUUGCCAUUGCACUGUUUCUCUGGCACAGACAUUCAGACAUGUGGUGCUACAUACUGAUUGUAUUUCCUGUGUUACAACUGCUGAUGUCCUGCUGGUUUCAUUUUUUUUUUUUUUUAACUGUUUCUCAUAUGUCAGGCAGGAAGAUGAAGCAGAUCCAGUAGUUCUUUCCCAUCCUCAAUUUCUAGGGAUCCUUACUUAGCUCCCAUUGGAAGAAAGGAUAGGAUAAGUUGAAAUUCUUUAUAAAGGGUCAAACAAAUUAGUGUUCCAGGGGGCAGCUGCAUUCGAGUCUGGUUUUCAUUCCAAAGCAAAUGGUUAUUAUUCUCAGCAAGCCAGAGAGGUGUGAGCACGUCGUGCUCUUUGGAUCUGUAUCAGUAACAAAUAACAUGCCAUAGAGGUGGAACAGGCAAUUUCUAGGGCAAUAUAUUAUUCAGGGAAGUAAAACAUGGAUUAGUGAAAUGAUUUUGAGAGUUACGAUGGGGGUGGGAGGAGUAGGCGCUUCCCUGUAAAAUCACCAGAGCCCAUGUUACUUGCCUGGGGAAUGCUGGGGAAAUGCCCAUAAAAUCUAUUAAUCUGCAACUAAUUAGGAGAUUAGGGAGUCAGCUUUUGAAGGUCUAGAAGAGUAAUCUUGGAAAGAAUCUGGAGGAAGGCUCUCACAUCAGGGGAGCAUCAGGAGCAGGUGCUUUACAGUCAAGAAAAAUCAAAAGCCUGAGCAUUAUGGAAGAUUUAUAUAGACAAGGGCCAGAGUUUGAAUCUCACUGCCAGCUAGUGCAUCCCAGUUGAUUUCAAUACUCAAAGGGAAACAUAUAUUCCUAUUUUUGUAAUAAUUUUUCUACUUAGUGACACAGAGAUUUACUGUAAGUGUUCAAGAGGAAUCCAGACAAAAUUAAAAAAUUAAGGAACCAAUUUAUUUCUCAUCAGGCACUGUCCCUUCAAGGGAGGACUAAUUAUGGUUAUUCCUGACAAGACAACAUGAGUUUGACUCAGUUCUGUUUGGGGUUUUUUUUUUGUAGUAUUAAAGGAAUAUGCUUUUGGGUCAUACUAAACCAUACAUUGUUUAUGCAAUAUUACCUCUGAAAAGGAGUUGGAAGCAAUGAAUCCUUCUAUCUUUGGAGAAAAAAACAGGGUAAGAUUCUUCUUUUGGCUUGUGACUUGAAAUACUGGGAGAAUAACUGAAAAAAAGGGAACUGGACAAUGGUAAGAGAGGGUGGAAGAUGACUUGAAACAUGUUUGGCUUGGGAGAUAGAACUGUGUACAAAUAUUAUUAGCAUAAAAAUCUUAGAAAUGUGUUAUGCCUUUCAAAACUGAUUACGCUUUUGUUUUCCACAUGAUCUCGGUGUUUUGUUGCCCCAUGGACCCUGCUUCGUUUGUGCUUGGCACGGGAAGUAAGUUACUCUACUUUUGUGGAGCUGGCCUAUGUGUUCUCCCCCACCUUGACCCUGAUUUGUCUUAGUUUUAUGUGGCAAGCAGAGGUGAGGUGCAGCAAAGGCUCUCAUCCUUCAGUUCCUUCCUUUCCCACUUGCUUGCAGGGGAAUAUUGACCAUGCAGUCCCUAGUUCUGGAAACACCAUUUGAGCAGCCCUUACUUGGGCAAGUAAAGGGAGCUGGGCUUACUUCAUUGUGGACUACUAGGAUUGCUUUUAUAAGAGAUGAUCCACAUUGAUCAGCAGAGUUUCAAGGCGCUACGGACAACAUCCCAGCCCCAGUCCCUUCGUCUUGUUUUAGUACCAUAAAAGGGCUGUAAAGAUGUACCAGGUGGGCAUCUGAGAGACUCUUUCUUCAUACAGCUGGGCCACAUUGGAAGAUCAGGACCAGCAUGUUUUAUUAUUAGAAUUCCUUUAAUGGUUCUUGCUAGUAUGUUUCAUAUAUGGAAUCUGUUGUGUGAAUUGUUCUGUUGAUCACUGGGAACAGGUGGGGGAGGGAAGAAAUAUAUAAAAAUCUAUUUAUAAAGGAAAAAAAUAGAGUUAGACAAUGAACUGUUAACUGUAGGUUCACCUGCUCCCACUGAAAUCAACUGAGCUCUGGAAAAGGGACACCAUUGAAUCUAUAUGUCUACGGUUUAUUUUCAUAUAAUAUGCAAUCCUAACUAUAACUUUAAAGGGAGAAAUAUUAUCUGAUUUAGAGCCCACUCUAGCUCCCAAAGAAGUCAGAGGAAAUCUUUUUCUUUUUUUUUUUUUUUUUUGGUGGCAUGUGGAUCAGGUCCAUGUGGAAAAAAAUCUAAAAUGGCUUGUCUAAAGGGUACAGAAGUUGGGUAGAUUUGAUAAAGAGAACAGUGGAACUGGAGACCUGAUGGGGAAAAAUUAGGUGGAAAAAUAUGUGAUUAUAUAUAUAAAGCAGUAGCCCAAGCAACCAUAUGGUGAGAAGGCAUGUGCCACACUGGAUCAAAGGGGAAAGUCUAGCAUUAGAUUAAAGGGGGAAUAACUGCAGGCAGCCAGUGAGUUUUAUAACAGAGUUGAUAAUAAUACACAGCACAGGAAGGAAAGAGCAAGGAAUAGACAUGAGCAUAAAACAGAAAUAAAAAGGAUUAUUUGAUCCCUCUGGCUUCCCCCCCCCCCAUAUAAUGGAAUUUAUUUUAUCACCCACCUUCUUCAGUUCACCUUCACUUUCAUCUUCCUCUCCUCUAAUAGUUUCCUAGACUCUUUACCCUGAAACUAAAUUUGCCCUCCCCACUUCAUUUAAAAAAUGUAAUACAGUGCAUGCAUCUUCCUCAGGUGCAGCUUGUAAGCAUGAAACAUCUGAAGUGUCAGUUCUACUAGGCAACACUUGCAUGACAGGAGAUGUGAUUGUGGGAUCACGUAUUAGAUCCCAUUGUGCCUUAUUUCCUAUGCAGAGGAAGCCCAAACCCAGGCUCCCUCUGCACUGGCAAGCUCUCAUGGCUGGGAGCCCCUUCAGGUGAGCUCAGCUGCGGCAAUCUCCCCACCUCAGGGGUGCAUGAAACCCCUGGGGCAAGGAGAUUGUAGCUGUGCCCUGGGGCUGCCAGGACCCAGCUGGGCCCCAACACCAGGAGACAUAGUGAGGGGACACAGACUCUGCUGUGGGGUGCUGCUGGGAUGGAGAGUCCUCAGCUUCUGGGGUCUGAAAGUCCCCAGCAGUUGUGGGGCUCACAGCCCUAGCUGGGCAAGAUGCAUCCCUGUGGCUGGGAGCACACAGCUAAUGGGGCUCCCAGCCACAGGGGAGACCCUGCUACACGUGCAAAUUAAAGAUGGGUAGCAAACAGCUAUAAAGUUAGGACACAUUCUUGAGGUCUAAUUUUAGCUUGUUGGACCUUUUCAUGGCAUGAUAGGUACUUUGCAAGUAUAGUUGGCCUUGAGGUAAUUGGGCAAUACCUAUAAUGUGUAGAGGGGGCCUUAGAGAUUAUCUCAUUCAGAGAGGCAUGAGUUUUUGUAAGCAACAGCCUUCAUCAGAUGUUACUGGACUUGAAGAAAGCAGGGGUACUAAAGAGAAAGGAAGAAAGUCAUUAAAAUACAAAGGAUAGGAAAGUGUUCUGCCAUAGGCUUUUGUGUCUUUCUGGAACUGGUUUCUAUCACGUAGGGAUUUCCCUACUUGCCCAAUGUGGACAGCAGUGGGGCACUGUGAGCUAGUGAUAGGGCAUAUGAUGUUGGUGGAGAAGCAGGGGCUUGUGCUACAUGGUUGCAUUGUGUUGAAAUGUUGUGUCAGUGCUGAUGGGGUGACAGGACUACUGUAAUGUACAAACACUAUCAUUGAAAGGGCCUCUGUACUGAUAUGGUAGUACUUAUGACCGCAUCUCUGACAGCGUGACUCAGUCUCUGUUGCUGCAUUAUCUGCUACAUGAACCUUGCAAAGAAAAUGAGGGGCCUGCUGGGGAAACUAGGAUUUGAGGUUCAUCUUUUACUCUGAAGAGAUGGUGGCUUGUGAGGUCCAGCAGCCCAGAGAGGGUUAAUGAAAGACCUGAUUACCUCCCUCAGCUGUGACCAGACAGCCCAUUUGAAGCAGCUGCUGAAAAAACUGCAACCCAAGCAAGAUAGGGAGAGGCUGGCUGAGGUAAACUGUGGAAGGAGCAGUGCAAUGAGAGAGGCUGAUGAGCAUGAAAGGAAAGUUGCAGUGAUUCAUGAGGAAGGGUGAUUUCUCUAUUAAAGAGUACCCUCAGAGUGCAUGAGCAGCACCAUAUCAAUACCAUGUACAAAACAGAUGGAAAUGCAGAAAACCAAUUCCGUGGCAAACCUGUUCUCUGCACUGCCAUGCAGGAAGUCUACUUCAGAGCAAUUUCUGCAUUACCAUUGUUUCUUGGGGCUGAGAGGAAGAAGUCGCAUGCAUGCAGCUGGAAGGAAUUAAGGAUUCAGUUUACAUCAUGUGCAAGAGACUGUAGUAUGGAUACCAAAAGCAAUCUCAAGAACUUUGUCAGAGCCUGGAGUGGUGCCUGCAGGUGCUCUAUCAGCUUUUUUACCUCAGGAGCCAACUUUAUUCUUGUUUUUCCAGUCACUAUAGUCUUUAGCACUUCAGAAUCAACCCAGAUUGGGUUGGGUAAAUAGUUCAACUUAACACUUGUUUCUUAUGUUCUACAGUGAUUGGGCGGGGGGGGGGGAAUCUAUUUUGUUUUUAUUAAAUCAUUGGGACAGGGACUUCUUUUGUGUGUUUGAAACAUGGGGUUUGCCUCCCUACCCUCAAGCUACACUGGUUCAUUAGAGCCAUGUUGAUUUUCAGGCAACAGUCAAUCAGAGUUCCACACACAACUUGAUGGAAGAGAUUAGAUUUUAAGAGUGGAACCUGCAUACAUUUAUUCAUACUCUAAAGCAACACUCUACUUUGGGAGGAAACUGAUUGGCAAUGAUGAGCAGAGAGAGAUUGACAUUUCCCUUUUGUGAAGGAAGACGCCCAAGGGGACACAUGGAUCUGAAUCCUGCAGUACCGACUUUAUUAGUAGUUUUGCUUGCAUGGGGACUACAAGAUUGAGCCUGUGUGUGGCCACUUGGCUUAUACUUAAAGCCAUUCACUUUCUAUAUUAUAAAUAUUCUCAUUAACUUAAUUAAAAAUAAAUCACUUAAUACAGGAAAAAAUAAAUACAAUUAAAAAUUAUUUAUUUUUGUGUAUUUUUAAAAGCUUAGUGCAAUUUAAUAUUGAAGCCUCUCAGUGACAUCAGGGAUUAGAUCCUGGAGCCUCUCUGCCACUAGCCAGUGGCUUGAAGGGUGAGAAAGGUGCACUGAAGAGACAGGUGAGAAUACCCAUCAUGGCUGUGAAGCAAGCAGAGGUGCCCUUGGCCAUCCUCUCCUGCGUGCCUCAGCUUGCUGGGCUCCAGAGAUCUCCAGCCAAGGUACAGGCCCUGGCAGACUUUUAGAAUAGACUGCAAAUGGGAGAGGAACAGGGAACCCCUGGCCAGGCCCCAUUCACUCUCUCUUUCAGCAUCCAGUGUCUGCCACUGUGUGACACAGGAUACUGGGCAAGAUGGAUCUGUGGGCUUACACAGUAAAUGGCAGUUCUCAUAUGUCAUUUUGUAAUAGCUUUAGAUUGCCCUUAAAUACACCAAAACCCAAACUGGUCCAGGCCAUGCUUGGGGGGUACUGAGGUUGUUUAAAACCACCUUUGAUCCCCCCAAGUCCUUCUCAUCUAUGUUUUGUGGAGCUUUGGCAUAACAAAGAAUCUAGUCCUAGGUUUUAUUUUACACACUGUCCUUCCUUCCUCUUUUCCCCCCAGUCAAACUCAGUGUUAAUGAUAAUAAUAUUAAGAUGUCCCAAAGGCAUGCAACCAACAUUGGGACCCCAGUAUGCUAGGCACGGUAGAAAUAUGAAAAUCAAUCCUUUCCUUAAAGAGAUUCAUCUCAGUAAGGUGGUGUCACAACCCAAAGUUGUGAUUUUUGUUUUUGUGUGCGCUUUGGCACCACUGAAUUAUUUUCCCGCCAAAUUUGUAGCUUUCUUUGCAGUG
This is a long non-coding RNA of Alligator sinensis (Chinese alligator), 6481 nucleotides long. RefSeq lists it as uncharacterized. The record is from RefSeq and is a predicted model, not a curated record. The transcript is spliced from 5 exons. NCBI's taxonomy places the organism in Eukaryota, Metazoa, Chordata, Crocodylia, Alligatoridae.